GGCACCAUGUCUGCUGGCCUGGUGGCCACAGUAGAAUCUCUUUUCUCUUUCUUCUUUAUUCCCUAAAGUCUUAAAGAUAACUAUUUGCACAAGCAAUAUAUGCAAAUAUAUUCUCACUGGAAAGAUUUUUAAAAAUGGAGAAAUAUGGCUGGGUGCAGUGGCUCAUGUCUGUAAUACCAGCACCUUGGGAGUCUGAGAUAGGACGAUUGCUUGAGCCCAGGAGUUUGAGAUCAGCCUGGGCAACAUGGGGAGACCCCAUCUCAACAAAAAAUACAAAAAUUAGCUGGGUGUGGUGGUGUGCACCUGUGGUCCCAGCUACUUGGGAGACUGAGGUGGGAAAAUUGCUUGGGACCAGGAAGUCAAGGUUGCAGUGAGCUGUGAUCACACCACUGCACUCCAGCCUGGGUGACAGGUUUAAACCAGUUUUAAUUGGACUUCCCUCACUUGCAACAAGGGAGACCUGAAUAAUAUUGCUUCUGUCUGCACGUCCAAAUACUUUCAUUUUUCAAGAAGCAAUGUUGUACCAAGGUCAGAACAAAGAAACACUUUAUGCUGAUCCUU
This 561-nucleotide long non-coding RNA is filed under the name Pongo abelii (Sumatran orangutan). RNAcentral describes it as "lincRNA". Lineage: Eukaryota; Metazoa; Chordata; Mammalia; Primates; Hominidae. The record is from RNAcentral.